Long non-coding RNA from Engraulis encrasicolus (European anchovy), 260 nucleotides. RefSeq lists it as uncharacterized. The transcript is spliced from 2 exons. Lineage: Eukaryota; Metazoa; Chordata; Actinopteri; Clupeiformes; Engraulidae. The record is from RefSeq and is a predicted model, not a curated record.
GAUGACGAUGGUGGUCAUGAUGAUGAUGAUGAUGAUGAUGAAGAUGAUGAUGAAGAUGACGAAGACCUGCUGGCUACAUCUGAUGAAGACACUAACUUUGAGGAGUCUGAGGAAGAGGAGGAGGAAGAAGAGGAUGCUGCCAACCCUGAAGAUGGACAGAGUGAUAGAAGAGACAAUGGAGGAGAAGAGAAAGGAUGAAAGGAUGGAGAGAGUAGGAGAUGUGUGUAUUAUUUUUAAUGAAACAUAUAAUAUUGAACUGA